Molecule: long non-coding RNA, 2204 nt
Organism: Salvelinus fontinalis (brook trout)
Lineage: Eukaryota; Metazoa; Chordata; Actinopteri; Salmoniformes; Salmonidae
Exons: 3
Source: RefSeq, a predicted model, not a curated record
CAGAGACGUGGCUAAGGUAGGACUGAUCAGAGACAUGGCUAAGGUAGGACUGAUCAGAGAGACAGAGACGUGGCUAAGGUAGGACUGAUCAGAGACAUGGCUAAGGUAGGACUGAUCAGAGACGUGGCUAAGGUAGGACUUAUCAGAGAGACAGAGACAUGGCUAAGGUAGGACUGAUCAGAGACAUGGCUAAGGUAGGACUGAUCAGAGACAUGGCUAAGGUAGGACUGAUCAGAGACGUGGCUAAAGUAGGACUGAUCAGAGACAUGGCUAAGGUAGGACUGAUCAGAGACAUGGCUAAGGUAGGACUGAUCAGAGACGUGGCUAAGGUAGGACUGAUCAGAGACAUGGCUAAGGUAGGACUGAUCAGAGAGACAGAGACGUGGCUAAGGUAGGACUGAUCAGAGACAUGGCUAAGGUAGGACUGAUCAGAGAGACAGAGACAUGGCUAAGGUAGGACUGAUCAGAGACAUGGCUAAGGUAGGACUGAUCAGAGACAUGGCUAAGGUAGGACUGAUCAGAGACAUGGCUAAGGUAGGACUGAUCAGAGACAUGGCUAAGGUAGGACUGAUCAGAGACAUGGCUAAGGUAGGACUGAUCAGAGACGUGGCUAAGGUAGGACUGAUCAGAGACGUGGCUAAGGUAGGACUGAUCAGAGAGACAGAGACAUGGCUAAGGUAGGACUGAUCAGAGAGACAGAGACGUGGCUAAGGUAGGACUGAUCAGAGACAUGGCUAAGGUAGGACUGAUCAGAGACGUGGCUAAGGUAGGACUGAUCAGAGAGACAGAGACAUGGCUAAGGUAGGACUGAUCAGAGACAUGGCUAAGGUAGGACUGAUCAGAGACAUGGCUAAGGUAGGACUGAUCAGAGACAUGGCUAAGGUAGGACUGAUCAGAGACAUGGCUAAGGUAGGACUGAUCAGAGACAUGGCUAAGGUAGGACUGAUCAGAGACGUGGCUAAGGUAGGACUGAUCAGAGACGUGGCUAAGGUAGGACUGAUCAGAGACGUGGCUAAGGUAGGACUGAUCAGAGACGUGGCUAAGGUAGGACUGAUCAGAGACAUGGCUAAGGUAGGACUGAUCAGAGAGACAGAGACGUGGCUAAGGUAGGACUGAUCAGAGACAUGGCUAAGGUAGGACUGAUCAGAGACGUGGCUAAGGUAGGACUUAUCAGAGAGACAGAGACAUGGCUAAGGUAGGACUGAUCAGAGACAUGGCUAAGGUAGGACUGAUCAGAGACAUGGCUAAGGUAGGACUGAUCAGAGACGUGGCUAAGGUAGGACUGAUCAGAGACAUGUCUAAGGUAGGACUGAUCAGAGACAUGGCUAAGGUAGAACUGAUCAGAGACGUGGCUAAGGUAGGACUGAUCAGAGACGUGGCUAAGGUAGGACUGAUCAGAGACAUGGCUAAGGUAGGACUGAUCAGAGACAUGGCUAAGGUAGGACUGAUCAGAGAGACAGAGACGUGGCUAAGGUAGGACUGAUCAGAGACAUGGCUAAGGUUGGACUGAUCAGAGACGUGGCUAAGGUAGGACUGAUCAGAGACGUGGCUAAGGUAGGACUGAUCAGAGAGACAGAGACAUGGCUAAGGUAGGACUGAUCAGAGACAUGGCUAAGAUAGGACUGAUCAGAGACAUGGCUAAGGUAGGACUGAUCAGAGACAUGGCUAAGGUAGGACUGAUCAGAGACAUGGCUAAGGUAGGACUGAUCAGAGACAUGGCUAAGGUAGGACUGAUCAGAGACGUGGCUAAGGUAGGACUGAUCAGAGACGUGGCUAAGGUAGGACUGAUCAGAGACGUGGCUAUGGUAGGACUGAUCAGAGACAUGGCUAAGGUAGGACUGAUCAGAGAGACAGAGACGUGGCUAAGGUAGGACUGAUCAGAGACAUGGCUAAGGUAGGACUGAUCAGAGACGUGGCUAAGGUAGGACUUAUCAGAGAGACAGAGACAUGGCUAAGGUAGGACUGAUCAGAGACAUGGCUAAGGUAGGACUGAUCAGAGACAUGGCUAAGGUAGGACUGAUCAGAGACGUGGCUAAGGUAGGACUGAUCAGAGACAUGGCUAAGGUAGGACUGAUCAGAGACAUGGCUAAGGUAGGACUGAUCAGAGACGUGGCUAAGGUAGGACUGAUCAGAGACGUGGCUAAGGUAGGACUGAUCAGAGACGUGGCUAAGGUAGGACUGAUCAGAGACGUGGCUAAGGUAGG